AUUUGUAUAUUAUAAAUAUUAUAUUUGACUUCCAAUCAAACGAUCCUAAACUAGGUACAAAUA
Molecule: transfer RNA, 63 nt
Filed under: Gibbium aequinoctiale
Lineage: Eukaryota; Metazoa; Arthropoda; Insecta; Coleoptera; Ptinidae
Description: tRNA-Gly
Source: RNAcentral